AUCCAGCUGACGAUUCCCAAAUAAGACGAAAUGGGCGUCCUGGAU
Non-coding RNA from Schistosoma mansoni, 45 nucleotides. Lineage: Eukaryota; Metazoa; Platyhelminthes; Trematoda; Strigeidida; Schistosomatidae. The record is from Rfam.